Molecule: transfer RNA, 70 nt
Filed under: Anguilla anguilla (European eel)
Lineage: Eukaryota; Metazoa; Chordata; Actinopteri; Anguilliformes; Anguillidae
Description: tRNA-OTHER
Source: RNAcentral
GCAUUGGUGACCCAGUGGGAGAGCUCCCGCCUCCACGCCGGCGGCCAGGGUUUGUAUCCCAGCCAGUGCC